AGUAGGAGCGCUUCCCUGUCAAUAUUAUGGCCGGGAUCAUAAACAACUGUCAUAUAUCUCUUAACGUACACUAUGUCGAGUUCUGUUCAAUUUUUUCAUUUUCUCAGUCCCUUAUCGAUGGAUAAUUUGCAUAGUGGGAAAAUUAAUUGAAAAGAACUGCACACAGUGUAAGCGAAAGGUUUGCGCUGAGUGAGUGAGAGACAGAUAUGAGGUUGUUUGAGAUCCCUGGGCAUGAUAUAUACAGGGAUGAGCUCGUACU
RNAcentral lists this microRNA precursor (259 nucleotides) under Picea abies (Norway spruce). Its description in RNAcentral is "miR11577 stem-loop (pab-MIR11577)". Lineage: Eukaryota; Viridiplantae; Streptophyta; Pinopsida; Pinales; Pinaceae. The record is from miRBase by way of RNAcentral.